UGGGUUUGACAUACACUGGAAAGCCGUGGAGACACGGCCUCCGCAAGGCCGGUGUACAGGUGGCGCAUGGCUGUCGUCAGCUCGUGUCGUGAGAUGUUGGGUUAAGUCCCGCAACGAGCGCAACCCUUGUUCCAUGUUGCCAGCGGGUUAUGCCGGGGACUCAUGGGAGACUGCCGGGGUCAACUCGGAGGAAGGUGGGGAUGACGUGUCGUUACCUUA
Molecule: unclassified non-coding RNA, 219 nt
Filed under: uncultured Actinomycetes bacterium
Lineage: Bacteria; Bacillati; Actinomycetota; Actinomycetes
Description: uncultured actinobacterium contains 16S-23S intergenic spacer region
Rfam family: Bacterial small subunit ribosomal RNA
Source: RNAcentral